This is an RNA transcript of Pieris rapae (cabbage white), 1458 nucleotides long. RefSeq lists it as uncharacterized. NCBI's taxonomy places the organism in Eukaryota, Metazoa, Arthropoda, Insecta, Lepidoptera, Pieridae. The transcript is spliced from 7 exons. The record is from RefSeq and is a predicted model, not a curated record.
UUGAAGUUCGGGGCUCAUUUUAAUGAUUUGUUUACGUCUGUUUAGUAUAUUAAUAGUUAAAAUUGAAUGUUUAGUCCUUCAUAAACAUAUUUAUGCCUUUUUCAAAUAGAAAUACAUUAAGAUGAUUUAAGAUUCCCAAAUAAUAUCGACGUGAUCCGCAGGUUUAUUGUUAUGGGCAGUGCGGUAUCCACGACCGUUAGAAUAAACGUCAUAAAUAAGGCUCACCGAGUCAAAUUGAUAAUUGUGAAUACCAUGGGGAUGGUGGGCCCACCCAUGCUGGAAGCAGUAGUCGUGGUCGUGGAGGUCGUGUAGGACGCGGUGGCCGUGGUGGUAGUCGUGGCCGUGGCAGUCGUGGAAACCGCGGGGGACGUGGAAACAGUGGAGAAACGGUGUAUGAAACUAUGAGUGACCUAGAUCUAGUUCGCGCUCAGCGUCAAGUCACUAAUAGACGUGUUGCGGCAUUGUCAGCGGAAGCUCGUAAGGAGCUUCUGAGCCGCAAGCGUGAGAAACAAUUAACACGAGUGCUUUUGCCUGACGCGCCACCCAGGAAGCGUCGCGUACAGUUAGUGUUUUUACUAUAUUACUUACUAUUAAUAUUCGUUGAAUAUUUCGAUAAACUUUAUUUGUUACAGAAGACCAUCGCCGGAUCGUGAGUCGUGUGAAUUUAUAGACAGCGAAUCUGGUGACGAUUCCAAUAGAAUUGUUAUUUUAGAAAAUAGGCAAGUGGCACCACCCAUGCAGGAUAACACUGGUGACGUCCACAUUCCGGACCUACAAGUGGCAGCGGUCUCGGAGCCGGGCGACUUGCUGCGUGCUGGUGAUAUAGAAGUGGGGGCAGAGGUUGAAAUUUCUGUGGCGCCUUCCACAAGUAAAUUGCAUACAUCAAUUGGGGUCAACGACAAAAACUUUGAACAGACCAUUGACGAAUGGAUUACUGAUGACUUAAGUGACUGUGACAUUGAAAAAGACGAUGAGAUAUGUCCAAUUUUACCAUCUCGCAAUGCUUCGACAGAACCGGCUAUUAUCACUGACCUGACGCCUUACGAAGCUAGAAUACUGGAGACUGAAGACCAGCAGAACGAUCUCGGUUUGAGAGACUUAGUGCCAAGUGACUGUUUUGAUUUUAAUUGGACAAGAGACCGACAGAUUUUUACAGGACAAAGAGAGACAUUUACUGGGACUGGAGGACCGACUUUUACUAUUUCAGACACGACACGUGUCGUCGAUAUUUUUUAUAAGAUGAUUGACAGUGAAUUUAUCGACAAACUUUGUACAGAGACCAAUCGAUACGCCGACCAAAAAAUUAAAUCACUAAAAGAAGCAAACAAGUUUCUUACAACUUCGCGGCUUUAUCGUUGGUCGCCGACUGACAGGGACGAAAUGAUCACCUUUCUGGCACUUAUAGUAUUACAAGGCCUAUUCCCUCUACCGGAGGAGGAAUCCUACUUCGCGUUCAAU